This is a long non-coding RNA of Drosophila virilis, 527 nucleotides long. RefSeq lists it as uncharacterized. The record is from RefSeq and is a predicted model, not a curated record. NCBI's taxonomy places the organism in Eukaryota, Metazoa, Arthropoda, Insecta, Diptera, Drosophilidae.
AUCUUUUUCUGUUGGCGACCUUCGUAUGAUACCGGAGACCACAAAACAAAAUCGGCCAGAAGUUAUUGCCAGUCAACAAAGGAAAGGAAAACAAGGGGAGAAAUAUAAACACAGACGCAAUUAUCUAUGGGCCCUUUCCUUUCCGGUUCGCACUUUCGGAAAUUUACUUAAUUUAAACUAGUCGGAGCACAAUGGGAAGUCUGCGUCUGACUGUGCCGUUUACUCAGGCGAGGACGCACGAAAUGGAACAGACUCACUCGGGUGAAAUGGGCGUGGUCUUGCCCGUGGCUGCCUCUUCGUCGUGUGAGUCCCGUCCGUGAUGGCUCAUCUCUCCGUCGUGUGGAUUACGCCGACACUUGGCCGCGCUUUGAAAAUCCGGCCCGUGAAUAUCGGGGUUGAUCUGGCCAGCGUCCUCCGGCGCGGGAACCAAACGUGGUGUGCCACAGGAUGGCUGCGGCUGCUCUAAUAGAGUAUCGCUUUUAUAGUAGUUUUAAAUGACGACAGUGUGUUUCGGGUGUAUUAUUGUU